UACGUAGGGUGCAAGCGUUAAUCGGAAUUACUGGGCGUAAAGCGUGCGCAGGCGGCUUUGCAAGACAGAUGUGAAAUCCCCGGGCUUAACCUGGGAACUGCAUUUGUGACUGCAUGGCUAGAGUGCGGCAGAGGGGGAUGGAAUUCCGCGUGUAGCAGUGAAAUGCGUAGAUAUGCGGAGGAACACCGAUGGCGAAGGCAACCCCCUGGGCCUGCACUGACGCUCAUGCACGAAAGCGUGGGGAGCAAACAGG
RNAcentral lists this ribosomal RNA (253 nucleotides) under uncultured bacterium. Its description in RNAcentral is "partial 16S ribosomal RNA". It matches the Rfam family "Bacterial small subunit ribosomal RNA", at positions 524 to 776 of the family's 1533-position model. The record is from RNAcentral.